Long non-coding RNA from Gopherus evgoodei (Goodes thornscrub tortoise), 176 nucleotides. RefSeq lists it as uncharacterized. The transcript has 3 exons. Lineage: Eukaryota; Metazoa; Chordata; Testudines; Testudinidae. The record is from RefSeq and is a predicted model, not a curated record.
AAGGUAUAACCCCUCUACGUAGUAAGGUGCCACCUCUCACCUUGUACAUGUUGGUUCGAACAAAACAACUCCAUCCAUCAUAUUACCUUUUUGGCCCUGUCACUGGGAUGGGUCAGCUUGUUCCUUGUUAUCUAUGUGGAGUGUACAAGUAUGCAAAUGUUCUGAUAUCUGGUGUC